UUUGUGAAUUAUCUUCUAGACAAAUCUGAUGUAGUAUAUGGUGUUUCGUUUUAUUUGGUAAAGUUUUAAUUUUCUUUCUUAAUGAACUUGAUGAGACAAGGAAAUGAGAAGGGUGCUAGGGUUUCUCUUAUGUGUUUGCAAUUGAAUAGCAGAUUCUGGAUUGAGGACGGCUUGAUUCUAUGAAUGUACACGAAAGGAGGGGUAUUUUGAAAUCAUAAAUUUGGAAACACAAAAUAAGGAAGAGUAAUUCAAAUACAUUGCUGAUGUAGCAACCGCUUGUGUAUUGAUAGAGAUGAUGAGGCUUACAUGAAUGUGUCCAGAAAAGCUGUGGGGUUUCUUUUUUCCUGUGAUUGGCGACGAAGAAAGUGAGAUUCGGCACUCUAUUUGUCCCUGUCUGUUUGUUUAGGAAGUAAAGUCUCCCCAGAUUUUCUAUUGCUCUUCUUGAGACAGACAGACAGACAGACAGACAGACAGCCAGUGAAAGUUUUUCAACAGAAGUAAGUAUAUAGAAAAACAGAAGGCACAAAGGAAAAAAAAAUUACAAUAUGUGAAGUCUGCAAUCAUUCAGCAGGCCUGUAUUCUUUUUUGGGUUAUUUUGAAGUCUCAAAAAAUCUAGAACUUAGAUAUCAUUCAGAAGACAUUGAUUAGGCCUGUAAAUAUUCUCACUUUUUCUCUCUUUUCCUUGUAUUUUUUAAUUGGGUUGUUUUGGUUUACCUUUUUAUCAGACAGUUACAGGGUUUAUAGGCCACAUGGUCAUAUUCUUUUACUGUAUUGCGUUACCGCUGAAAAAGCAAAGAAAUUCCAUGUAGGUUGCCUGGAUCUCUGCAAGACGGUACUUUUAGCUGCAGAAGAAAAAAAAAAAGAAAAAGAAAAUCUUUGUUGGAGGCAAUCCACCAGAAAAUAAAGAUAAUAAAAGUACCAAAAACUGUACCUUAAUGUGGAAAACGGAU
Prunus mume (Japanese apricot) is the source of this 950-nucleotide non-coding RNA. NCBI's taxonomy places the organism in Eukaryota, Viridiplantae, Streptophyta, Magnoliopsida, Rosales, Rosaceae. The record is from RefSeq and is a predicted model, not a curated record.